Molecule: long non-coding RNA, 751 nt
Filed under: Homo sapiens (human)
Lineage: Eukaryota; Metazoa; Chordata; Mammalia; Primates; Hominidae
Description: PREDICTED lncRNA (TCONS_00263606)
Source: RNAcentral
CCAAGCUGGCCAGGGAGCCUGGAAGCAGAUGAGAUGGGGCCGCAGAGCCUGGUUUGCGGAGGGGAGAGGCAGACGUGUCCUGCAGCCCUCUCUUCUUCAGAGGCCCCCUGCGGGUGCUGAGGGGAGAGUGGCUUAGGCGUUGCACCCCAGGAGACUGAACUGGGUCAGUUCCCCCUUGUUUGCUGCCAGAGAAAUGGGGGUACCAUUGUCAGGGUGAGCUAAGGAGGCCCUGCUGACAUUGGCCCAACCAGGCCCCUCCUUUGCGGCUGCUGUGGGGACUUUCGAGAGCAGAGCACACCCCUAAGUGCGUGGAGAGGAGGGAAGCUGAGGCUCAGAGACAUCAUGAGGAUGCCAGCUCAAGGCCCAGCCAGGCCUUGGUCCUCAGCUGCUGUCAUCCAGUAGGCUCAAGCCCAGAGGCCUCCAGGGUGUCCAGCCUCCAGGGUGCCUCCUACGCAGCCUCCACGUCCCCAUCCACUGCAGCCCCUGACCAUCGGGCACACCGUGGGGCCUUCGCUGGCCGCCGGGCCUCAGGUUCUGCUGCACCAAGUGAUUUUUAAAGCCCCAUCUGCCUUUCUCCACUUAUAAAGAACUUGGGACAUUUCCUCGAGGUUGGGCAUUUUUCCAGAUGUGGUUUCAGUGUCUCGCUUGCUACCUGGUCCCCUGUGCUGGGCGGUCCGCUGUGACGCACCUGGCAGUCCUUGCUCUAGGAUGGAUUCGGGCCGGCCCUUGUUCUGAGAACAGAGAACGGCCC